This 329-nucleotide long non-coding RNA is filed under the name Homo sapiens (human). RNAcentral's name for it is "HSALNT0368041". Lineage: Eukaryota; Metazoa; Chordata; Mammalia; Primates; Hominidae. The record is from RNAcentral.
GGCUGGUCUCGACCUCCCGACAUCACGUGAUCUGCCCGCCUCAGCAUCCGAAAGUGCUGGGAUUACAGAUGUGACCUAUCGUGCCCAGCCGCUAAACCUCAUCUUUAAAAAAGAAGAACAAAAUAGAACAUGGACAAGAUGGCUGGGGUCCUGUGGAGUUCUAGUAAUCUUCUUACGAUAAUAAAGCAACCUUAUGCCAUAUGAUAUGCUAAGGAUGGAGGAAGAUAGAGUCUAGGUGCCUGAUGACAACAUGGAGCUGUCAAGCCCUGCAUUGCCUCCCCCUGGACGUCUCAUUAUGGGAGAAAAUGAAGCAAUUUGUUUAAGCCACA